GUGGGGAAUAUUCCGCAAUGGACGAAAGUCUGACGGAGCAACGCCGCGUGAGUGAUGAAGGUUUUCGGACUGUAAAGCUCUGUUGUUUGGGACGAAAGUGCCUGUUGCGAACAGUUACGGGUAUUGACGGUACUAAACGAGGAAGCCACGGCUAACUACGUGCCAGCAGCCGCGGUAAUACGUAGGUGGCAAGCGUUGUCCGGAAUUAUUGGGCGUAAAGAGCAUGUAGGCGGGAAUCUAAGUCUGUUGUGAAAAUGCGGGGCUCAACCCCGUAUUGCGAUGGAAACUGGGUUUCUUGAGUGCAGGAGAGGAAAGGGGAAUUCCCAGUGUAGCGGUGAAAUGCGUAGAUAUUGGGAGGAACACCAGUGGCGAAGGCGCCUUUCUGGACUGUGUCUGACGCUGAGAUGCGAAAGCCAGGGUAGCGAACGGGAUUAGAUACCCUUGUAGUCC
RNAcentral lists this ribosomal RNA (450 nucleotides) under uncultured bacterium. RNAcentral's name for it is "partial 16S ribosomal RNA". It matches the Rfam family "Bacterial small subunit ribosomal RNA", at positions 354 to 796 of the family's 1533-position model. The record is from RNAcentral.